RNAcentral lists this ribosomal RNA (1244 nucleotides) under Moelleriella libera RCEF 2490. RNAcentral describes it as "Aschersonia aleyrodis RCEF 2490 Bacterial small subunit ribosomal RNA". It matches the Rfam family "Bacterial small subunit ribosomal RNA", at positions 9 to 1303 of the family's 1533-position model. Lineage: Eukaryota; Fungi; Ascomycota; Sordariomycetes; Hypocreales; Clavicipitaceae. The record is from Rfam by way of RNAcentral.
GAGUUUGGUGAUGGCUCUGAUUGAAUGCUGUCCAAGUGCUUGACACAUGCUAAUCGUACGUUUUAAUUAGUAAUUUAUUACUUAAAUUAAAAAGUGGUGUACAGGUGAGUAUAAUGGUAUUCUUAGCCGGCCUUAAAGUGAAGGUAAAUCCUUCAUAAUACAUAAAGGAAUAUAAAAUUCUGCUUUAAGAGGACAACAAAUAUCUUCGGGAUAGGUAGUAGUUAAGGUGAUGGCUUAACUAGCUUAAAAUUCUCGUAGUCGAAGCUGAAAGGUUGAUCGACCACAUUGGGUCUGAAAAAACCCCAAUGCAAGUUAGUACAGCAGUGAGGAAUCUUGGUCAAUGGCCUAACGGCUGAACUGGCAACUUGGAGAAGUGGCAAGUCUUAUUUUUGAUUAUAAUUUUAGAUAAUCUAUAAGAUUGUAUUAAAAUUGAAUAAAACUUUGUUUAUAUAUUGAUAAUGACAAUAUAUAUAUCGUGUCUUGACUAAUUACGUGCCAGCAGUCGCGGUAAUACGUAAGAGACUAGUGUUAUUCAUCUUAAUUAGGUUUAAAGGGUCCCUAGACGGUCAAUAUAGCUUCUAGAAUGUUAGUACUUGACUAGAGUUUGAUGUAAGGGGGCAGUACUUGAGGAGGAGAGAUGAAAUUCUAUUAUACCAAAGGGACUCGGUAAAGGCGAAGGCAGCCCUUUAUGUAAAAACUGACGUUGAAGGACGAAGGCACAGAGCACAAACAGGAUUAGAUACCCAAGUAGUCUUUGCAGUAAAUGAUGAAUGCCAUAGGUUAGAUUAUAGUUUAAUAAAUUAGUUUAUCAGUAGUAAAUUAAUUGUAUUAAAUAGUAUUUAGUCUAUAAAUGAAAGUGUAAGCAUUCCACCUCAAGAGUAAUGUGGCAACGCAGGAACUGAAAUCACUAGACCGUUUCUAACACCAGUAGUGAAGUAUGUUGUUUAAUUCGAUGAUCCACGAAAAACCUUACCACAAUUUGAAUAUUUUACAGGAGUUGCACGGCUGUUUUCAGUUAAUGUUGUGAAACUGUGGUUUCCAUGGAAUUAACGCAAUCCUUGACUUUAUUUUUUAUUUUUAUUACGAUAAAGUAUUUGAUCCAACAUUUGGAGAAAAAAAGGGGACAAAGACAAGUCAUCAUGGCCUGCUGAAUGAUCUAGGAAAUCAUGAUCGUGGGAUAAACUAUCAAACUCCGGGGACACCCUAAAGUUUCUGGUACUAAGCUAUAUAUGAAAAUAUACUAG